This 116-nucleotide transfer RNA is filed under the name Cladophialophora chaetospira. RNAcentral describes it as "tRNA-Met". The record is from RNAcentral. Lineage: Eukaryota; Fungi; Ascomycota; Eurotiomycetes; Chaetothyriales; Herpotrichiellaceae.
ACAGUUAUGUUAGGUCUAGUUGGUUAUGACGUCGGUCUCAUAGAACCCAACUGUGAUCUUGUGCCCACAAACACAAGAAGUUAUCCGAAGGUCGCGAGUUCGAUUCUCGCUCUGUA